GACUCUCGGCAACGGAUAUCUCGGCUCUCGCAUCGAUGAAGAACGUAGCGAAAUGCGAUAUAGUAUAUAUUAUAAUAGAUGAGUUUUUACUCAAUUCUCAGCCUAUCCACCUCAGCAUGUGGAUCCCACUAAAUUUCUAUGUAUUAAAAAAAAAUUAUGUUUAAAACUGUUUAA
RNAcentral lists this ribosomal RNA (174 nucleotides) under Brassica napus (rape). RNAcentral's name for it is "rRNA 5_8S_rRNA". The stretch from base 1 to 126 matches the Rfam family "5.8S ribosomal RNA". From Rfam's summary of the family: 5.8S ribosomal RNA (5.8S rRNA) is a component of the large subunit of the eukaryotic ribosome. The record is from RNAcentral. Lineage: Eukaryota; Viridiplantae; Streptophyta; Magnoliopsida; Brassicales; Brassicaceae. RNAcentral also lists the same sequence under 1 other name.